Molecule: long non-coding RNA, 2761 nt
Organism: Clupea harengus (Atlantic herring)
Lineage: Eukaryota; Metazoa; Chordata; Actinopteri; Clupeiformes; Clupeidae
Exons: 2
Source: RefSeq, a predicted model, not a curated record
AUCCUCCCCUCUCCUCCUCCUCUUCUCUUCUCUCUGGUAGGGUCUCCUGUCCUCUCCUUAGUGCUCUGUCCUCCUCUCUACUCUCUCAAAUAUUCUGCCACCCCCAACUCACGUUGGCGCCCCCCACACCCCUGUCUUCUAAAACCCACCUCCCCACCUCCCAGUGUCCUUGUUGCACCUCACACAUCGCCAUGGCAACGGCCCACGGAACCCCAUCAGCAUUUUCUACCAGUGCCAUGGCCUCUGCCUCACAAGCCCCUACCUCCGCCCCUAGACCCUGCCUCACAUGUCCGGCCGCGCAGGCACUGGUGUCAGAACCCACACUGGUCUCAGAACAGAACCCAGUCGAGACCCAAAGUGUUCUUUCGAAACCAUCUAUGGCUUUUGACACUUUUCUCUCUAUGGUACUAGAUGAAGAGCAAAUAGCAGCAGAUCAGCUGGCUGGCGGAGAGGAUUAUAUAUGAACAUUUAUAUAUAUGAAUAUAUAUAUAAAGGAAAAAAUGUAAAAGAUAUAGUUUGUUUUAAGUCAGCACAAUAUCUGAAAAUAAUACGCUACACAAGAGUGGAGUUUUCUGUCAUGAGCGCUUUACAUGUGGUAGGCUGUUCCAAAAAAAGAAAAAGAAAAGAAAAAACAGGAUUUUUCUAAAACUAUGUAGCAGAGCACUAGGUGUUAUCCAUCUGAUAAGAAUGUAAAGAUUCCCAGGCUCCCCGAGUGGAUCGGACCGGACUGCUGGGCCUGGCCCAGUUCUGCUGAGAUGUAGUCCUUACACUGCGGCUUGUCAACACACAGCAGGCCAUCGCCUUCCUCUCACUUCACUUCUCUUCUCUUAUCUUCUCUCAUCUUCUGUUUCUUUCUUUUGGUUUGGCUUUUGUUUAGUUUUUUCUCUUUUGAAGACACUGAGAGGUAAAGUCUGUAGCAGUCACACACACACACACACACACACACACACACACACACACACACACACACACACAGCCCUGUCCUAUAGGGGUAAACAGCUCAACACACCCAAGGAGAGACACAUGAACAUUAAAUGGUCACACAGACUCACACACGUGCACGCACACACACACGCACGCACACACGUGCACACACACGCACGCACACACAGUUCCCCUUCCUGUCCGACUGGCUUUAGUACUGUGAAAACUGAGAGUCUCCUUUGCCUGUGAUUGACAGCUGAACUCCUUGUGGCCACCCGGGGGUUUUGCCCCUGUAGUUCAGGCAGCUGCCCACGUGAACUAAAGGACAGCACCUCCUCCAGGCACCUCCUUCAGGCUGUGCUGUGCAUGUCUUAACUUAAUCAGUCAAAUUAAUAAAUAAUCGUUAAUCAUCAAUAACCAGUUAUUGAUCUGCCACUGGUUGGUUAGAGGUGGCCCAGGGUUAGCAGAUGGAUUAGUUAGAGAAUGCAGGUGGCCCAGGGUUAGCAGAUGGGUUGGUUAGAGAAUGCAGGUGGCCGAGGGUUAGCAGAUGGGUUAGUUAGAGAAUGCAGGUGGCCCAGGGUUAGCAGGCAGCAGAUGGGUUAGUUAGAGAAUGCAGGUGGCCCAGGGUUAGCAGGCAGCAGAUGGGUUGGCCCUGGCCUGUCCCUCCCUAAACCAGAGUUGUUGAUUGGUUUAACCUGAGCCCUGAGCAGAGACCGCUGAAGACCUCAUCUGGAUGCGAGUCCAGUCAGUUGCUCUGUUUGUUUGCCUCUCUGAGUGAAGCUGUGUCUGAUUGUUUGAAUGUUUGUCUCCCCAGUGGCCAGUGAAGGUGUGUGUGAUUUGGAGAACACUGUAUGAGGCUUGAUCUUGAAGCCUGUGUGUCCAGGCUGUUCCCUAAUACUACUGAUGAGGUGUGAGGUGAUAAGCCUAAAUUCUAAGGAAGCACUAUGGAGGUGACCUCUGACCUCACUGAGUGACCUAUGACCUUUGACCUGAUAACUGCUGUUGUCUACUUCCUGCUCCAAGGCCUCACAUAGUUCAACUUGAUGCUUUUAUCUGUACAUUUUCAAAAAGGUUGCUGGCAAAACCCCCUGUUCUGCCUUGUCAGUGUUGGAGUCUACAGUCCUGUGCUGUAGUUGUGUGGCAGUGUGGAUGAGGGAAUGUGAAUUGUAAAUUUGACCAAAUCUUGUAGCGGAAUUCCAUGAUUUCCAAGGGCUUUGGGAAAGCACAGGGAUGCCAGCAACAGGGAUGUCUGUUGUCUUCAACCACUAGCUUUGUUUUUAUUUUUAUUUUUUUUGUUUUUAUUCUAAUUCACACUUCACCCUCCUGGUGUUGAGCUCCACAUAUCUAGAACAGAAAUGAUGAGCGAAGUGCUUUUAAAACUUUUCAUUGCUUUCAAAAUGUGCCACUCUGUGUCUGGUAGGACAUUUAAAUUAUUUUACAAUGCCAAAAUAAGGGGUUAUUUAUAUAAAGACAUAUAAAUAAAUAUACAUAUAUAUUAUAUAUUAAAUCUAGUGUGUAGUUUAAGACUAUAUUUGUUUAAGUAGAGGCUUUUUUUGCACUAGUUGAAUGUUUUCUGUCGUGCGACUUUCAUGUAGCUUGGUAGUUUGCAAAAAAAAGAUUAUUUUUGCAGAACAAUGUCAACGCUUUGAUUAGUAUCUUUUCAUUUGACCGUUUUAACUGUAGCUUGUCAGCAGCGCGUUCUGUGGGUGGUUUUGUAUUUAUAUUGUACUUGUGGAACUUCUAGCAAUGACGAUACUAAAAACAACUGUUGUUAUCCUGCUACUUUAAUACUGUUUUAUAGUAUGUGUACCAAUAAACUCUACAGGUGUUAAACGAA